This 484-nucleotide ribosomal RNA is filed under the name uncultured bacterium. Its description in RNAcentral is "partial 16S ribosomal RNA". It matches the Rfam family "Bacterial small subunit ribosomal RNA", at positions 30 to 507 of the family's 1533-position model. The record is from RNAcentral.
AUUGAACGCUGGCGGCAGGCCUAACACAUGCAAGUCGAGCGGAUGAAGGGAGCUUGCUCCUGGAUUCAGCGGCGGACGGGUGAGUAAUGCCUAGGAAUCUGCCUGGUAGUGGGGGAUAACGUCCGGAAACGGGCGCUAAUACCGCAUACGUCCUGAGGGAGAAAGUGGGGGAUCUUCGGACCUCACGCUAUCAGAUGAGCCUAGGUCGGAUUAGCUAGUUGGUGGGGUAAAGGCCUACCAAGGCGACGAUCCGUAACUGGUCUGAGAGGAUGAUCAGUCACACUGGAACUGAGACACGGUCCAGACUCCUACGGGAGGCAGCAGUGGGGAAUAUUGGACAAUGGGCGAAAGCCUGAUCCAGCCAUGCCGCGUGUGUGAAGAAGGUCUUCGGAUUGUAAAGCACUUGAAGUUGGGAGGAAGGGCAGUAAGUUAAUACCUUGCUGUUUUGACGUUACCAACAGAAUAAGCACCGGCUAACUUCGUG